GAAAUUUGAAGCAUUAUAAAACCACACAAGCAUUUACCCUCAUACUUGCAAUAAGAGCAUAUCAUACUUGAUACUUGCACCAACAUUUUUCUCAAGAUUAAUCGAUCUCUUAACAAUGUCAUCAACAUCAGUUGAUUACUUGAGAGAUGAACUCCUGACACAAGAAACAAGAGAUCUGAUCUCUUCUCUUCCGAAAGAGAAAGGUUGGUUAGUGAGUGAGGUGUGUCAAUUCCAAGGAUAUUGGUACACACAAGCUAUCUUACAAGGACUCUUGAUGUGCCAAAAACGCUUUGAAGCCAAAGAUUCCGACAUUAUCCUCGUCACUAAUCCNN
RNAcentral lists this long non-coding RNA (332 nucleotides) under Capsella grandiflora. RNAcentral's name for it is "long non-coding RNA (CGRA_LNC001264)". Lineage: Eukaryota; Viridiplantae; Streptophyta; Magnoliopsida; Brassicales; Brassicaceae. The record is from RNAcentral.